RNAcentral lists this ribosomal RNA (273 nucleotides) under uncultured bacterium. RNAcentral's name for it is "partial 16S ribosomal RNA". It matches the Rfam family "Bacterial small subunit ribosomal RNA", at positions 524 to 796 of the family's 1533-position model. The record is from RNAcentral.
GACGAACCGGACAAACGUUAUUCGGAAUCAUUGGGCUUAAAGGGUGCGUAGGCUGUGCAGAAAGUUGGAUGUGAAAUCUCUCGGCUCAACCGAGAAACUGCGUCCAAAACUACUGUGCUUGAGGAAGAUAGAGGUGAGCGGAACUAAUGGUGGAGCGGUGAAAUGCGUUGAUAUCAUUAGGAACACCUGUGGCGAAAGCGGCUCACUGGGUCUUUUCUGACGCUGAGGCACGAAAGCUAGGGUAGCGAACGGGAUUAGAAACCCCAGUAGUCC